GACGAACGCUGGCGGCGUGCUUAACACAUGCAAGUCGAACGGUGAAGCUCCAGCUUGCUGGAGUGGAUCAGUGGCGAACGGGUGAGUAACACGUGAGCAACCUGCCCCUGACUCUGGAAUAAGCGCUGGAAACGGCGUCUAAUACUGGAUACGAGAAGGGUCCGCAUGGGCACUUUCUGGAAAGUUUUUCGGUUGGGGAUGGGCUCGCGGCCUAUCAGCUUGUUGGUGAGGUAAUGGCUCACCAAGGCGACGACGGGUAGCCGGCCUGAGAGGGCGACCGGCCACACUGGGACUGAGACACGGCCCAGACUCCUACGGGAGGCAGCAGUGGGGAAUAUUGCACAAUGGGCGAAAGCCUGAUGCAGCGACGCCGCGUGAGGGAUGACGGCCUUCGGGUUGUAAACCUCUUUAAGCAGGGAAGAAGCGAAAGUGACGGUACCUGCAGAAGAAGCACCGGCUAACUACGUG
Molecule: ribosomal RNA, 468 nt
Filed under: uncultured bacterium
Lineage: Bacteria
Description: partial 16S ribosomal RNA
Rfam family: Bacterial small subunit ribosomal RNA
Source: RNAcentral